CGAACGCUGGCGGCGUGCUUAACACAUGCAAGUCGAACGGUGAAGCGCCUUCCUUUUUGGUGGGUGUGGAUGAGUGGCGAACGGGUGGGUAACACGUGAGUAACCUGCCCCCUUCUUCUGGAUAACCGCAUGAAAGUGUGGCUAAUACGGGAUAUUCUGGGUCUGUCGCAUGAUGGGUCUGGGAAAGAUAUUGUUUCGGUGGGGGAUGGGCUCGCGGCCUAUCAGCUUGUUGGUGGGGUGAUGGCCUACCAAGGCGGUGACGGGUAGCCGGCCUGAGAGGGUGGACGGUCACACUGGGACUGAGACACGGCCCAGACUCCUACGGGAGGCAGCAGUGGGGAAUAUUGCACAAUGGGCGCAAGCCUGAUGCAGCGACGCCGCGUGAGGGAUGGAGGCCUUCGGGUUGUGAACCUCUUUCGCCAGUGAAGCAGGCCUGCCUCGUUUGUGGGUGGGUUGACGGUAGCUGGAUAAGAAGCGCCGGCUAACUACGUG
This 492-nucleotide ribosomal RNA is filed under the name uncultured bacterium. RNAcentral describes it as "partial 16S ribosomal RNA". It matches the Rfam family "Bacterial small subunit ribosomal RNA", at positions 30 to 507 of the family's 1533-position model. The record is from RNAcentral.